GAUGAACGCUGGCGGCGUGCUUAACACAUGCAAGUCGAACGAUGAAGCCCAGCUUGCUGGGUGGAUUAGUGGCGAACGGGUGAGUAACACGUGAGUAACCUGCCCUUGACUCUGGGAUAAGCCUGGGAAACUGGGUCUAAUACUGGAUAUGACUUCUCAUCGCAUGGUGGGGGGCGGAAAGAUUUAUUGGUCUUGGAUGGACUCGCGGCCUAUCAGCUUGUUGGUGAGGUAAUGGCUCACCAAGGCGACGACGGGUAGCCGGCCUGAGAGGGUGACCGGCCACACUGGGACUGAGACACGGCCCAGACUCCUACGGGAGGCAGCAGUGGGGAAUAUUGCACAAUGGGCGCAAGCCUGAUGCAGCGACGCCGCGUGAGGGAUGACGGCCUUCGGGUUGUAAACCUCUUUCAGUAGGGAAGAAGCGAGAGUGACGGUACCUGCAGAAGAAGCGCCGGCUAACUACGUG
RNAcentral lists this ribosomal RNA (466 nucleotides) under uncultured bacterium. RNAcentral describes it as "partial 16S ribosomal RNA". It matches the Rfam family "Bacterial small subunit ribosomal RNA", at positions 28 to 507 of the family's 1533-position model. The record is from RNAcentral.